RNAcentral lists this ribosomal RNA (2782 nucleotides) under Escherichia coli. Its description in RNAcentral is "partial 23S ribosomal RNA". It matches the Rfam family "Bacterial large subunit ribosomal RNA". The record is from RNAcentral. Lineage: Bacteria; Pseudomonadati; Pseudomonadota; Gammaproteobacteria; Enterobacterales; Enterobacteriaceae.
GGGUUGUGAGGUUAAGCGACUAAGCGUACACGGUGGAUGCCCUGGCAGUCAGAGGCGAUGAAGGACGUGCUAAUCUGCGAUAAGCGUCGGUAAGGUGAUAUGAACCGUUAUAACCGGCGAUUUCCGAAUGGGGAAACCCAGUGUGUUUCGACACACUAUCAUUAACUGAAUCCAUAGGUUAAUGAGGCGAACCGGGGGAACUGAAACAUCUAAGUACCCCGAGGAAAAGAAAUCAACCGAGAUUCCCCCAGUAGCGGCGAGCGAACGGGGAGCAGCCCAGAGCCUGAAUCAGUGUGUGUGUUAGUGGAAGCGUCUGGAAAGGCGCGCGAUACAGGGUGACAGCCCCGUACACAAAAAUGCACAUGCUGUGAGCUCGAUGAGUAGGGCGGGACACGUGGUAUCCUGUCUGAAUAUGGGGGGACCAUCCUCCAAGGCUAAAUACUCCUGACUGACCGAUAGUGAACCAGUACCGUGAGGGAAAGGCGAAAAGAACCCCGGCGAGGGGAGUGAAAAAGAACCUGAAACCGUGUACGUACAAGCAGUGGGAGCACGCUUAGGCGUGUGACUGCGUACCUUUUGUAUAAUGGGUCAGCGACUUAUAUUCUGUAGCAAGGUUAACCGAAUAGGGGAGCCGAAGGGAAACCGAGUCUUAACUGGGCGUUAAGUUGCAGGGUAUAGACCCGAAACCCGGUGAUCUAGCCAUGGGCAGGUUGAAGGUUGGGUAACACUAACUGGAGGACCGAACCGACUAAUGUUGAAAAAUUAGCGGAUGACUUGUGGCUGGGGGUGAAAGGCCAAUCAAACCGGGAGAUAGCUGGUUCUCCCCGAAAGCUAUUUAGGUAGCGCCUCGUGAACUCAUCUCCGGGGGUAGAGCACUGUUUCGGCAAGGGGGUCAUCCCGACUUACCAACCCGAUGCAAACUGCGAAUACCGGAGAAUGUUAUCACGGGAGACACACGGCGGGUGCUAACGUCCGUCGUGAAGAGGGAAACAACCCAGACCGCCAGCUAAGGUCCCAAAGUCAUGGUUAAGUGGGAAACGAUGUGGGAAGGCCCAGACAGCCAGGAUGUUGGCUUAGAAGCAGCCAUCAUUUAAAGAAAGCGUAAUAGCUCACUGGUCGAGUCGGCCUGCGCGGAAGAUGUAACGGGGCUAAACCAUGCACCGAAGCUGCGGCAGCGACACUAUGUGUUGUUGGGUAGGGGAGCGUUCUGUAAGCCUGUGAAGGUGUACUGUGAGGUAUGCUGGAGGUAUCAGAAGUGCGAAUGCUGACAUAAGUAACGAUAAAGCGGGUGAAAAGCCCGCUCGCCGGAAGACCAAGGGUUCCUGUCCAACGUUAAUCGGGGCAGGGUGAGUCGACCCCUAAGGCGAGGCCGAAAGGCGUAGUCGAUGGGAAACAGGUUAAUAUUCCUGUACUUGGUGUUACUGCGAAGGGGGGACGGAGAAGGCUAUGUUGGCCGGGCGACGGUUGUCCCGGUUUAAGCGUGUAGGCUGGUUUUCCAGGCAAAUCCGGAAAAUCAAGGCUGAGGCGUGAUGACGAGGCACUACGGUGCUGAAGCAACAAAUGCCCUGCUUCCAGGAAAAGCCUCUAAGCAUCAGGUAACAUCAAAUCGUACCCCAAACCGACACAGGUGGUCAGGUAGAGAAUACCAAGGCGCUUGAGAGAACUCGGGUGAAGGAACUAGGCAAAAUGGUGCCGUAACUUCGGGAGAAGGCACGCUGAUAUGUAGGUGAAGUCCCUCGCGGAUGGAGCUGAAAUCAGUCGAAGAUACCAGCUGGCUGCAACUGUUUAUUAAAAACACAGCACUGUGCAAACACGAAAGUGGACGUAUACGGUGUGACGCCUGCCCGGUGCCGGAAGGUUAAUUGAUGGGGUUAGCCGCAAGGCGAAGCUCUUGAUCGAAGCCCCGGUAAACGGCGGCCGUAACUAUAACGGUCCUAAGGUAGCGAAAUUCCUUGUCGGGUAAGUUCCGACCUGCACGAAUGGCGUAAUGAUGGCCAGGCUGUCUCCACCCGAGACUCAGUGAAAUUGAACUCGCUGUGAAGAUGCAGUGUACCCGCGGCAAGACGGAAAGACCCCGUGAACCUUUACUAUAGCUUGACACUGAACAUUGAGCCUUGAUGUGUAGGAUAGGUGGGAGGCUUUGAAGUGUGGACGCCAGUCUGCAUGGAGCCGACCUUGAAAUACCACCCUUUAAUGUUUGAUGUUCUAACGUUGACCCGUAAUCCGGGUUGCGGACAGUGUCUGGUGGGUAGUUUGACUGGGGCGGUCUCCUCCUAAAGAGUAACGGAGGAGCACGAAGGUUGGCUAAUCCUGGUCGGACAUCAGGAGGUUAGUGCAAUGGCAUAAGCCAGCUUGACUGCGAGCGUGACGGCGCGAGCAGGUGCGAAAGCAGGUCAUAGUGAUCCGGUGGUUCUGAAUGGAAGGGCCAUCGCUCAACGGAUAAAAGGUACUCCGGGGAUAACAGGCUGAUACCGCCCAAGAGUUCAUAUCGACGGCGGUGUUUGGCACCUCGAUGUCGGCUCAUCACAUCCUGGGGCUGAAGUAGGUCCCAAGGGUAUGGCUGUUCGCCAUUUAAAGUGGUACGCGAGCUGGGUUUAGAACGUCGUGAGACAGUUCGGUCCCUAUCUGCCGUGGGCGCUGGAGAACUGAGGGGGGCUGCUCCUAGUACGAGAGGACCGGAGUGGACGCAUCACUGGUGUUCGGGUUGUCAUGCCAAUGGCACUGCCCGGUAGCUAAAUGCGGAAGAGAUAAGUGCUGAAAGCAUCUAAGCACGAAACUUGCC